Molecule: ribosomal RNA, 603 nt
Filed under: uncultured fungus
Lineage: Eukaryota; Fungi
Description: eukaryotic LSU rRNA
Rfam family: Eukaryotic large subunit ribosomal RNA
Source: RNAcentral
ACCCGCUGAACUUAAGCAUAUCAAUAAGCGGAGGAAAAGAAACCAACAGGGAUUGCCCUAGUAACGGCGAGUGAAGCGGCAACAGCUCAAAUUUGAAAUCUGGCGUCUUUGGCGUCCGAGUUGUAAUUUGCAGAGGGCGCUUUGGCAUUGGCAGCGGUCCAAGUUCCUUGGAACAGGACGUCACAGAGGGUGAGAAUCCCGUACGUGGUCGCUAGCCUUUACCGUGUAAAGCCCCUUCGACGAGUCGAGUUGUUUGGGAAUGCAGCUCUAAAUGGGAGGUAAAUUUCUUCUAAAGCUAAAUACUGGCCAGAGACCGAUAGCGCACAAGUAGAGUGAUCGAAAGAUGAAAAGCACUUUGGAAAGAGAGUUAAAAAGCACGUGAAAUUGUUGAAAGGGAAGCGCUUGCGGCCAGACUUGCCUGUAGUUGCUCAUCCGGGUUUUUACCCGGUGCACUCUUCUAUAGGCAGGUCAGCAUCAGUUUGGGCGGUUGGAUAAAGGUCUCUGUCAUGUACCUCUCUUCGGGGAGAACUUAUAGGGGAGACGACAUGCAACCAGCCCGGACUGAGGUCCGCGCAUCUGCUAGGAUGCUGGCGUAAUGGCUGU